RNAcentral lists this ribosomal RNA (274 nucleotides) under uncultured bacterium. RNAcentral describes it as "partial 16S ribosomal RNA". It matches the Rfam family "Bacterial small subunit ribosomal RNA", at positions 523 to 796 of the family's 1533-position model. The record is from RNAcentral.
AUACAGAGGGUGCGAGCGUUAAUCGGAAUUACUGGGCGUAAAGGGUGCGUAGGCGGUUACUUAAGUCGGAUGUGAAAUCCCUGGGCUCAACCUAGGAACUGCAUUCGAAACUGAGUGACUAGAGUACAGUAGAGGAAAGUGGAAUUUCAGGUGUAGCGGUGAAAUGCGUAGAUAUCUGAAGGAACACCAGUGGCGAAGGCGACUUUCUGGACUGAUACUGACGCUGAGGUACGAAAGCGUGGGGAGCAAACAGGAUUAGAAACCCCAGUAGUCC